CUAAAUGCAUUUAACAGAAAAGCCUUAUAAAUAACUAGGUAAAUAACAUAAAACAGUCGAAGAUGUAUAUUGGUUUGUUAUAAUAUUUAAAUGCCAAUUUUUUCAACUUUCUUCCUACCAUCUAUAGUUUUCUUUAGAGUGUGUAAAAUACAUAGCCGCGACUCUGCCGAAUGCCAAACUUUAUUACCUCACCUAUAUAAUAUUAUAGUUUUCGUCAACGUAACGAUGUUUUAUGGCAUAAACACUUUGA
Non-coding RNA from Cinara cedri, 250 nucleotides. Lineage: Eukaryota; Metazoa; Arthropoda; Insecta; Hemiptera; Aphididae. The record is from the annotation of a GenBank genome assembly.